This 797-nucleotide ribosomal RNA is filed under the name uncultured marine archaeon. RNAcentral describes it as "bacterial SSU rRNA". It matches the Rfam family "Archaeal small subunit ribosomal RNA", at positions 23 to 818 of the family's 1478-position model. The record is from RNAcentral.
GCCAUUGCUAUUGGGAUCCGAUUCAGCCAUGCGAGUCGCGCGGGUUCAGACCCGCGGCGAACGGCUCCGUAACACGUGGUCGAACUACCCUGUGGACCAGGAUACUCUCGGGAAACUGAGGCUAAUCCCGGAUAGCGUCUUCAGCCUUGAACGGCGAAAACGCCAAACGCUCCGGCGCCACAGGAUGUGACUGCGGCCGAUUAGGUAGACGGUGGGGUAACGGCCCACCGUGCCGAUAAUCGGUACGGGUAGUGAGAGCUAGAGCCCGGAGACGGACUCUGAGACAAGAGUCCGGGCCCUACGGGGCGCAGCAGGCGCGAAACCUUUACACUGCGCGAUAGCGCGAUAGGGGGAUCCCAAGUGCGAGGGCAUACAGUCCUCGCUUUUGCCUACCGUAAGGUGGUAGGCGAAUAAGAGCUGGGCAAGACCGGUGCCAGCCGCCGCGGUAAUACCGGCAGCUCAAGUGAUGGCCGAUUUUAUUGGGCCUAAAGCGUCCGUAGCCUGCUAGACAGGUCCGUCGGGAAAUCCACCCGCUCAACGGGUGGGCGUCCGGCGGAAACCAGCUAGCUUGGGACCGAGCGACCUGAGGGGUACGUCCGGGGUAGGAGUGAAAUCCUGUAAUCCCGGGACGGACCACCGGCGGCGAAAGCGCCUCAGGAGAGCGGAUCCGACGGUGAGGGACGAAAGCUAGGGUCUCGAACCGGAUUAGAUACCCGGGUAGUCCUAGCCGUAAACGAUGCUCGCUAGGUGCUUGCGCUGGCUACGAGCCAGCGCUGUGCCGUAGGGAAACCCGUGAA